CCUGAAUUCGAGGGGGAUUGGAUUCAAGGCCUCGCGGUCUCAGUCUGCUGCCCGCCAGUUGGUGCCGUGUGGCUCCGGGGUGACGUGGAAUGCGUGCGGAGUCGACCGGUUCACCACUCGACGUGUGUGGCUUAUCUGGUGACGGGGGUGUGCACUUCCUCCCCAGUAGAAACGUCGCGACCCGUUGGGUGUCGGUCUAAGGCCCGGGAUGGCAGACCAUGUGUCCUGUUGUUGGGUUCUCAGGCAUGUGGACUCCUGGUGACCUGGCUGACUGCCCGACGGUAUGAACAGAGGGGUCGAUCCACUAAAGGUGAAACAUGAGGUGUGUGAAGUGUCCGGACCCUGCACAGAUGCGAUCAGGGAUAAGUAAAGUCGGGUUCCCCCCAUGUGAUGCAUGGUCCGGCCCUGUUUCGGUCUCUGUUGCUUGUGCCUCGGACUGGAUCAGUACUCCCGUCUGCGACGAUAUAUUUCGGAUUGUCUCCCG
RNAcentral lists this ribosomal RNA (484 nucleotides) under Stheneboea sp. SB0043. Its description in RNAcentral is "partial large subunit ribosomal RNA". The record is from RNAcentral. Lineage: Eukaryota; Metazoa; Arthropoda; Insecta; Phasmatodea; Lonchodidae.